This 301-nucleotide ribosomal RNA is filed under the name uncultured bacterium. Its description in RNAcentral is "partial 16S ribosomal RNA". It matches the Rfam family "Bacterial small subunit ribosomal RNA", at positions 509 to 809 of the family's 1533-position model. The record is from RNAcentral.
CAGUCGCCGCGGUAAUACGGAGGGUGCAAGCGUUAAUCGGAAUUACUGGGCGUAAAGCGCACGCAGGCGGUUUGUUAAGUCAGAUGUGAAAUCCCCGAGCUUAACUUGGGAACUGCAUUUGAAACUGGCAAGCUAGAGUCUUGUAGAGGGGGGUAGAAUUCCAGGUGUAGCGGUGAAAUGCGUAGAGAUCUGGAGGAAUACCGGUGGCGAAGGCGGCCCCCUGGACAAAGACUGACGCUCAGGUGCGAAAGCGUGGGGAGCAAACAGGAUUAGAUACCCGCGUAGUCCCUGUCUCUUAUAA